RNAcentral lists this long non-coding RNA (1120 nucleotides) under Marmota monax (woodchuck). The record is from RNAcentral. Lineage: Eukaryota; Metazoa; Chordata; Mammalia; Rodentia; Sciuridae.
UGAGCAGUACAUUUCUCUCUGGGUUGCUGCGAUUCUGCAAGAAUCAAUAUUUUAACACUUUUCUGGAAAACUCUGCAUUUCUAAUACUGGACCUCACUGGAUUCUCCUUUGAAGUUGGAGAACAUGAGAACAUGGCACAUGGCCUGAGAUUACACAUUCGGAUUGCUUCCCUCUUGAGACUCUGCCCAGGUAUGAGUGUGCGUGUGUAUAAGUCUGAGCUGGUUAAUUGUUUCUUUGGUUGUUUAGGGCAUGUAUGAUGUUGUCCUGGAUCCUUACUUUAGUCCCUGAAUGUUACACCUGAAGAAGGCUGUUCCACAGCUGUGGAUCCAACAUGCCUCCCUGACCUCUUGCUUGGCAGUUACAUGCCUAUGAUCAGUUGGAGAGGAUGGAGUGACAGCCCCUAGUCUGAUCUUUUCCUACUUGUCUGGCCCUGUAUAAUACAACCCAACACCCAGCUUUAGUUACCAUGGGCUUUUCACUGUUCCCCAUAUAUCUUAUAGCAAUUCUUAUCUUGGCUCCUUUGCCUGCACAGGAUCCCGAUACUGAAAUACUCACACCCACCCUUCUCUGAUGAUCUAACACUUUGUGAUAUGCAAUUAAGCCUUUAUUCUAGGAAGCCUCGCUAGCCACUGCACCCAACAACUUGUAAUUGUUUGUUCACAGUGAGCACCAGAUGACCCUAUUACUAGUUGCUCUUUGUAGACUGGAGAUAAGAAACCUUUUAUUCCAGGUACAUGCACUUAAAAUCCUCUUUUCCAACUUCCUUUGUAUAUAACAGAAAAAAAGAGGAACACCAAGUGACUGUAUAUUCAGAACCUGACUUACUAAUCAUACCAUGCUGCCUGGUUUUGAUUCAGCUUUCCAACUUGACUGUGUGCUCUCAUCCUGGAUCUGUCUUCAUUUUAUCUCCAUGUCCUCCCUGGCAGAAUGCAAUGCACACAGUAGGCUCAGCACAGCUAGCAUCGCUUCUGAUUAUUCCGAGAUAAGGCCACACCCCUUCUGAAAGCAUACCUCAAAGCACACGUACAUCAUUUGAGAGGAAUGAUAUUAAUGAGCUUCCAGGAAGUCAGGCUGUUUCCAGUGCUUGCUGCGUAAUCCAGAGGCACAGCUGGCAGGCUCU